This 550-nucleotide ribosomal RNA is filed under the name Wolbachia pipientis. RNAcentral's name for it is "bacterial LSU rRNA". It matches the Rfam family "Bacterial large subunit ribosomal RNA", at positions 26 to 623 of the family's 2925-position model. The record is from RNAcentral. Lineage: Bacteria; Pseudomonadati; Pseudomonadota; Alphaproteobacteria; Rickettsiales; Anaplasmataceae.
UGAUGCCUUGGCAUUGAUAGGCGAUGAAGGACGUGGCAGGCUGCGAUAAGCUGUGGGGAAUUGUCAACAAAUUUUGAUCCGCAGAUUUCCGAAUGGGGAAACCCAACUAGUUUAGCUAGUUAUUACAUACUAAGUAUGUAAAGCAAACUUGGUGAACUGAAAUAUCUAAGUAGCCAAAGGAAAAGAAAUCAACCGAGAUUCUGUUAGUAGUGACGAGCGAAAGCGGAAAAGGCUAGUGAUUUAAGAAUAAGAAUUAGAAUACUCUGGAAAUAGUAACCAUAGAAGGUGAUAGUCCUGUAUAAGUAGAAAGUUUUUAAAUCCUUGAGUAGAGCGGGGCACGUGAAAUCCUGUUUGAAUAUGGGGGGACCAUCCUCCAAGCCUAAAUACUCCUUAACGACCGAUAGUGAACAAGUACCGUGAGGGAAAGGUGAAAAGAACCCCGGGAGGGGAGUGAAAUAGAAUCUGAAAUCAAGUGCUUACAAACAGUUGGAGCUCUAUAUCAAUUUAUUGAUAUUUAGAGUGACAGCGUGCCUUUUGCAUGAUGAGCCAA